RNAcentral lists this ribosomal RNA (253 nucleotides) under uncultured bacterium. RNAcentral's name for it is "partial 16S ribosomal RNA". It matches the Rfam family "Bacterial small subunit ribosomal RNA", at positions 524 to 776 of the family's 1533-position model. The record is from RNAcentral.
UACGGAGGGUGCGAGCGUUGUCCGGAAUCACUGGGCGUAAAGGGCGCGUAGGCGGCCUGGUAAGUAGGGGGUGAAAUCCUGCGGCUUAACCGCAGGGCUGCCUUCUAAACUGUCAGGCUCGAGCACGGUAGAGGCAGAUGGAAUUCCCGGUGUAGCGGUGAAAUGCGCAGAUAUCAGGAGGAACACCGGUGGCGAAGGCGGAUCUCUGGGCCUUACCUGACGCUGAGGCGCGAAAGCUAGGGGAGCAAACAGG